This 497-nucleotide ribosomal RNA is filed under the name uncultured bacterium. RNAcentral's name for it is "partial 16S ribosomal RNA". It matches the Rfam family "Bacterial small subunit ribosomal RNA", at positions 28 to 507 of the family's 1533-position model. The record is from RNAcentral.
GAUGAACGCUGGCGGCGUGCCUAAUACAUGCAAGUCGAGCGAACGGACGAGAAGCUUGCUUCUCUGAUGUUAGCGGCGGACGGGUGAGUAACACGUGGAUAACCUACCUAUAAGACUGGGAUAACUUCGGGGAACCGGAGCUAAUACCGGAUAAUAUUUUGAACCGCAUGGUUCAAAAGUGAAAGACGGUCUUGCUGUCACUUAUAGAUGGAUCCGCGCUGCAUUAGCUAGUUGGUAAGGUAACGGCUUACCAAGGCAACGAUGCAUAGCCGACCUGAGAGGGUGAUCGGCCACACUGGAACUGAGACACGGUCCAGACUCCUACGGGAGGCAGCAGUAGGGAAUCUUCCGCAAUGGGCGCAAGCCUGACGGAGCAACGCCGCGUGAGUGAUGAAGGUCUUCGGAUCGUAAAACUCUGUUAUUAGGGAAGAACAUAUGUGUAAGUAACUGUGCACAUCUUGACGGUACCUAAUCAGAAAGCCACGGCUAACUACGUG